GAUGAACGCUGGCGGCGUGCCUAAUACAUGCAAGUCGAGCGAACGGACGAGAAGCUUGCUUCUCUGAUGUUAGCGGCGGACGGGUGAGUAACACGUGGAUAACCUACCUAUAAGACUGGGAUAACUUCGGGAAACCGGAGCUAAUACCGGAUGAUAUUUUGAACCGCAUGGUUCAAAAGUGAAAGACGGUCUUGCUGUCACUUAUAGAUGGAUCCGCGCUGCAUUAGCUAGUUGGUAAGGUAACGGCCUACCAAGGCAACGAUGCAUAGCCGACCUGAGAGGGUGAUCGGCCACACUGGAACUGAGACACGGUCCAGACUCCUACGGGAGGCAGCAGUAGGGAAUCUUCCGCAAAGGGCGAAAGCCUGACGGAGCAACGCCGCGUGAGUGAUGAAGGUCUUCGGAUCGUAAAACUCUGUUAUUAGGGAAGAACAUAUGUGUAAGUAACUGUGCACAUCUUGACGGUACCUAAUCAGAAAGCCACGGCUAACUACGUG
This 497-nucleotide ribosomal RNA is filed under the name uncultured bacterium. RNAcentral describes it as "partial 16S ribosomal RNA". It matches the Rfam family "Bacterial small subunit ribosomal RNA", at positions 28 to 507 of the family's 1533-position model. The record is from RNAcentral.